CUUGUGCCAGCAGCCGCGGUAAUACAGAGGGUGCAAGCGUUAAUCGGAAUUACUGGGCGUAAAGCGCGCGUAGGUGGUUCGUUAAGUUGGAUGUGAAAUCCCCGGGCUCAACCUGGGAACUGCAUUCAAAACUGACGAGCUAGAGUAUGGUAGAGGGUGGUGGAAUUUCCUGUGUAGCGGUGAAAUGCGUAGAUAUAGGAAGGAACACCAGUGGCGAAGGCGACCACCUGGACUGAUACUGACACUGAGGUGCGAAAGCGUGGGGAGCAAACAG
This 274-nucleotide ribosomal RNA is filed under the name uncultured Pseudomonadales bacterium. RNAcentral describes it as "partial 16S ribosomal RNA". It matches the Rfam family "Bacterial small subunit ribosomal RNA", at positions 502 to 775 of the family's 1533-position model. The record is from RNAcentral. Lineage: Bacteria; Pseudomonadati; Pseudomonadota; Gammaproteobacteria; Pseudomonadales.